AGAAUCCUACGGGGCGCAGCAGUAGGGUAUAUUGCUCAAUGGGGGAAACCCUGAAGCAGCAACGCCGCGUGGAGGAUGAAGGUUUUCGGAUUGUAAACUCCUUUUGUUAGAGAAGAUAAUGACGGUAUCUAACGAAUAAGCACCGGCUAACUCCGUGCCAGCAGCCGCGGUAAUACGGAGGGUGCAAGCGUUACUCGGAAUCACUGGGCGUAAAGAGCGCGUAGGCGGGAUAG
RNAcentral lists this ribosomal RNA (233 nucleotides) under uncultured bacterium. RNAcentral's name for it is "partial 16S ribosomal RNA". It matches the Rfam family "Bacterial small subunit ribosomal RNA", at positions 333 to 583 of the family's 1533-position model. The record is from RNAcentral.